Molecule: transfer RNA, 72 nt
Filed under: Hordeum vulgare
Lineage: Eukaryota; Viridiplantae; Streptophyta; Magnoliopsida; Poales; Poaceae
Description: tRNA-Asn
Source: RNAcentral
GAAGGCCUAGCCCAGUGGAGUGUCUCUGGUGGUUGUACCAGGGGGUUGUGGGUUCGAUCCCCACAUCCUCCC